GGCUCACCUAGGCGACGAUCCCUAGCUGGUCUGAGAGGAUGACCAGCCACACUGGAACUGAGACACGGUCCAGACUCCUACGGGAGGCAGCAGUGGGGAAUAUUGCACAAUGGGCGCAAGCCUGAUGCAGCCAUGCCGCGUGUGUGAAGAAGGCCUUCGGGUUGUAAAGCACUUUCAGCGGGGAGGAAGGCGUUAAGGUUAAUAACCUUGGCGAUUGACGUUACCCGCAGAAGAAGCACCGGCUAACUCCGUGCCAGCAGCCGCGGUAAUACGGAGGGUGCAAGCGUUAAUCGGAAUUACUGGGCGUAAAGCGCACGCAGGCGGUCUGUCAAGUC
This 335-nucleotide ribosomal RNA is filed under the name Klebsiella quasipneumoniae subsp. similipneumoniae. RNAcentral's name for it is "bacterial SSU rRNA". It matches the Rfam family "Bacterial small subunit ribosomal RNA", at positions 262 to 589 of the family's 1533-position model. Lineage: Bacteria; Pseudomonadati; Pseudomonadota; Gammaproteobacteria; Enterobacterales; Enterobacteriaceae. The record is from RNAcentral.